GUUUGAUCCUGGCUCAGAUUGAACGCUGGCGGCAUGCCUUACACAUGCAAGUCGAACGGCAGCACGGGAGCUUGCUCCUGGUGGCGAGUGGCGAACGGGUGAGUAAUACAUCGGAACGUACCCAGGAGUGGGGGAUAACGUAGCGAAAGUUACGCUAAUACCGCAUAUUCUGUGAGCAGGAAAGCGGGGGAUCGCAAGACCUCGCGCUCUUGGAGCGGCCGAUGUCGGAUUAGCUAGUUGGUGAGGUAAAAGCUCACCAAGGCGACGAUCCGUAGCAGGUCUGAGAGGAUGAUCUGCCACACUGGGACUGAGACACGGCCCAGACUCCUACGGGAGGCAGCAGUGGGGAAUUUUGGACAAUGGGGGCAACCCUGAUCCAGCCAUGCCGCGUGAGUGAAGAAGGCCUUCCGGUUGUAAAGCUCUUUCGGCGGGGAAGAAAUGGCAACGGCUAAUAUCCGUUGUUGAUGACGGUACCCGCAUAAGAAGCACCGGCUAACUACGUGCCAGCAGCCGCGGUAAUACGUAGGGUGCGAGCGUUAAUCGGAAUUACUGGGCGUAAAGCGUGCGCAUGCGGUUUCGUAAGACAGACGUGAAAUCCCCGGGCUCAACCUGGGAACUGCGUUUGUGACUGCGAGGCUAGAGUACGGCACAGGGGGGUAGAAUUCCACGCGUAGCAGUGAAAUGCGUACAGAUGUGGAGGAAUACCGAUGGCGAAGGCAGCCCCCUGGGUUAGUACUGACGCUCAUGCACGAAAGCGUGUGGAGCAAACAGGAUUAGAUACCCUGGUAGUCCACGCCCUAAACGAUGUCAACUACGUGUUGGAAGGGUUAAACCUUUUAGUACCGCAGCUAACGCGUGAAGUUGACCGCCUGGGGAGUACGGUCGUCAAGGUUAAACUCNGAGGAAUUGAUGGGGACCCGCACAAGCGGUGGAUGAUGUGGAUUAAUUCGAUGCGACGCGAAAAACCUUACCUACCCUUGACAUGGCAGGA
RNAcentral lists this ribosomal RNA (991 nucleotides) under uncultured Azospira sp. RNAcentral's name for it is "bacterial SSU rRNA". It matches the Rfam family "Bacterial small subunit ribosomal RNA", at positions 11 to 994 of the family's 1533-position model. Lineage: Bacteria; Pseudomonadati; Pseudomonadota; Betaproteobacteria; Rhodocyclales; Rhodocyclaceae. The record is from RNAcentral.